Molecule: non-coding RNA, 106 nt
Organism: Acanthosepion pharaonis
Lineage: Eukaryota; Metazoa; Mollusca; Cephalopoda; Sepiida; Sepiidae
Source: the annotation of a GenBank genome assembly
UUUCUGCUUUCAAACACCGGUUCCCGUCCGAUCACCGAAGUGAAGCAACGUCGAGCCCGCUCAUUACUUAGAGGGGUGACCGCUUAGGAAUACCAGGUGUUGUAAG